RNAcentral lists this ribosomal RNA (253 nucleotides) under uncultured bacterium. Its description in RNAcentral is "partial 16S ribosomal RNA". It matches the Rfam family "Bacterial small subunit ribosomal RNA", at positions 524 to 776 of the family's 1533-position model. The record is from RNAcentral.
UACGAAGGGUGCAAACGUUGCUCGGAAUCAUUGGGCGUAAAGCGCACGUAGGCGGCGCGUUAAGUCGGGUGUGAAAGCCCUGGGCUCAACCCAGGAAGUGCAUUCGAAACUGGCGCGCUUGAAUAUGGAAGAGGGUCGCGGAAUUCCCGGUGUAGAGGUGAAAUUCGUAGAUAUCGGGAGGAACACCAGUGGCAAAGGCGGCGACCUGGGCCAAUAUUGACGCUGAGGUGCGAAAGCGUGGGGAGCAAACAGG